Molecule: ribosomal RNA, 723 nt
Filed under: fungal sp.
Lineage: Eukaryota; Fungi
Description: eukaryotic LSU rRNA
Rfam family: Eukaryotic large subunit ribosomal RNA (bases 497-723)
Source: RNAcentral
CAUUACAAGGAGCCGAAAGGCUACUUCAAACCAUUGCGAACUCAUCCAAGUUGCUUCGGCGGCGCGGCGUCCCCUCGCGGGGAUGCCGCAGCCCCGCCCCCUCGGGGGCGGUGUGCGCCCGCCGGAGGUAUCAAACCCUUCUGUAUUAUAGCGGUAUCUCUGAGUAAAAACAAACAAGUUAAAACUUUCAACAACGGAUCUCUUGGCUCUGGCAUCGAUGAAGAACGCAGCGAAAUGCGAUAAGUAAUGUGAAUUGCAGAAUUCAGUGAAUCAUCGAAUCUUUGAACGCACAUUGCGCCCGCUAGUAUUCUAGCGGGCAUGCCUGUUCGAGCGUCAUUUCAACCCUCAAGCCCUGCUUGGUGUUGGGGCCCUACGGCUGCCGUAGGCCCUGAAAAGAAGUGGCGGGCUCGCUGCAACUCCGAGCGUAGUAAUUUAUUAUCUCGCUAGGGAGGCGCGGCGGUGCUCCUGCCGUUAAAGCCCCAUCUUUAACCAAGGUUGACCUCGGAUCAGGUAGGAAUACCCGCUGAACUUAAGCAUAUCAAUAAGCGGAGGAAAAGAAACCAACAGGGAUUGCCCCAGUAACGGCGAGUGAAGCGGCAACAGCUCAAAUUUGAAAUCUGGCUUCGGCCCGAGUUGUAAUUUGUAGAGGAUGCUUUUGGUGAGGUGGCCUUCUGAGUUCCCUGGAACGGGACGCCAGAGAGGGUGAGAGCCCCGUAUAGUCGG